Molecule: non-coding RNA, 643 nt
Organism: Prunus mume (Japanese apricot)
Lineage: Eukaryota; Viridiplantae; Streptophyta; Magnoliopsida; Rosales; Rosaceae
Source: RefSeq, a predicted model, not a curated record
GUAAAGGAGGAGCGAAAACUUAUACCCGGGACCGGCUGGCUAUCAUAAAAAUGGUUCUCAAGGCCAACGCUGUUUACAUAAAUCUCUUUAAUCCUAUUGCUGCUGUUCUCAUCCAAAGUAUUGUUUGUCCGAGUUUCCCAUUUUUCAGAAACCAAAGAGAAGAACGGUUAGGGAGUUUAUGAAGAUGAAGGAUAUCAACCUGGUAGGCACCUAGUGCAAGUCCUAGUAAAGGCAAGCCAGUGCCACCAUGUCAGCCCAGGGCCAGGGGUUGUCGCGGCGGGGUAAGUUUCAGGCUGGGGCCAGUCUUUCUCGAAAUUGGAAACAUUUGCAAGCCGGCCCAGACUGAACUAGGAGUAGAAUACUAAAGCGGAGGGGCGGAGUCCAUGAACGUUUAGAGUGGUCACACCUGACCCUUCUCAAAUUUGGCAUAUCUUAUAGUUAUCUCUAUGGUUGUUCUGCUUCUCUUUUCUUUAUUGGCCAUGGCUAUUUUACUUAUUGUACGAUCAUGUGGCUCAAUUCAUUAAGGCAUUAGAAGGUUAAGAUUGCUAGUUAUGAACUCCAAUUGGUAGAGCAGAACAUAUUCAAAUGCAUCGAUUGCAUCGUUAUGGACUGAGCCAGCUGCGUCUGGCAAAUUAUAAAUUCA